UACGGAGGAUCCGAGCGUUAUCCGGAAUCAUUGGGUUUAAAGGGUCCGUAGGCGGGUUAGUAAGUCAGUGGUGAAAUCCGGCAGCUUAACUGUCGAAUUGCCGUUGAUACUGCUAAUCUUGAAUUACUGUGAAGUGGUUAGAAUAUGUAGUGUAGCGGUGAAAUGCUUAGAUAUUACAUGGAAUACCAAUUGCGAAGGCAGAUCACUAACAGUAUAUUGACGCUGAUGGACGAAAGCGUGGGGAGCAAACAGGAUUAGAUACCCGU
Molecule: ribosomal RNA, 266 nt
Filed under: uncultured prokaryote
Description: partial 16S ribosomal RNA
Rfam family: Bacterial small subunit ribosomal RNA
Source: RNAcentral